This 428-nucleotide ribosomal RNA is filed under the name uncultured Oscillospiraceae bacterium. RNAcentral's name for it is "bacterial SSU rRNA". It matches the Rfam family "Bacterial small subunit ribosomal RNA", at positions 354 to 796 of the family's 1533-position model. Lineage: Bacteria; Bacillati; Bacillota; Clostridia; Eubacteriales; Oscillospiraceae. The record is from RNAcentral.
GUGGGGAAUAUUGGGCAAUGGGCGCAAGCCUGACCCAGCAACGCCGCGUGAAGGAAGAAGGCUUUCGGGUUGUAAACUUCUUUUCUCAGGGACGAAGAAAGUGACGGUACCUGAGGAAUAAGCCACGGCUAACUACGUGCCAGCAGCCGCGGUAAUACGUAGGUGGCAAGCGUUAUCCGGAUUUACUGGGUGUAAAGGGCGUGUAGGCGGGAAAGCAAGUCAGAUGUGAAAACCACGGGCUCAACCUGUGGCCUGCAUUUGAAACUGUUUUUCUUGAGUACUGGAGAGGCAGACGGAAUUCCUAGUGUAGCGGUGAAAUGCGUAGAUAUUAGGAGGAACACCAGUGGCGAAGGCGGUCUGCUGGACAGCAACUGACGCUGAGGCGCGAAAGCGUGGGGAGCAAACAGGAUUAGAAACCCCUGUAGUCC